GGAUCGGUAGUUCAGUUGGUUAGAAUGCCGCCCUGUCACGGCGGAGGUCGCGGGUUCGAGUCCUCGUCCGGUCCG
RNAcentral lists this transfer RNA (75 nucleotides) under Bacteroidota bacterium. RNAcentral describes it as "Bacteroidetes bacterium tRNA-Asp". It matches the Rfam family "tRNA". Rfam says of the family: Transfer RNA (tRNA) molecules are approximately 80 nucleotides in length. Their secondary structure includes four short double-helical elements and three loops (D, anti-codon, and T loops). Lineage: Bacteria; Pseudomonadati; Bacteroidota. The record is from RNAcentral.